RNAcentral lists this ribosomal RNA (253 nucleotides) under uncultured bacterium. RNAcentral's name for it is "partial 16S ribosomal RNA". It matches the Rfam family "Bacterial small subunit ribosomal RNA", at positions 524 to 776 of the family's 1533-position model. The record is from RNAcentral.
UACGAAGGGUGCUAGCGUUGUUCGGAAUUACUGGGCGUAAAGCGCGCGUAGGCGGCUUGGAAAGUUGGAGGUGAAAUCCCGGGGCUCAACCCCGGAACUGCCUCCAAAACUCUCAAGCUAGAGACAUGGAGAGGUGAGUAGAAUUCCUAGUGUAGAGGUGAAAUUCGUAGAUAUUAGGAAGAAUACCAGUGGCGAAGGCGGCUCACUGGCCAUGUACUGACGCUGAGGUGCGAAAGCGUGGGGAGCGAACAGG